AAAUUAGUAAAUAAAUAAACAAACCUAGUUACCUACCCCCCUCAAAACAAAACACACACAGAAAAGAUUAAUUUGGCAAAAAGAGUUACACAGCUAUGUGUAACCAGCCCUUUCUAACUCCAAGUAGCUCUUUCUAUUAAACCACAGCUGAAAUAUAUUAAACUAAAGGACAAACAUAAAAUAUAAAAAUUCAUUCUGGGAUACAACUAGAAUAAUGAAGUUGAAAGUUUAACUCAAAGAAAAGUAAAACAGAUUCCUUAAUGAAGAAAAGAACAGUAUUUCGCUUACUAUAAAGGACAAGACCCCCAACGACUGCCCUACAGCCAACACCAUGUGACAUCUCAGGGUAGUGUUUCUCCCACACAGCUGCUCACUGCAGGCCGAAGCUGGAUGCAGUAAAAGAAGGUCCACUGGCAGACAAAACAGUUCAGUCCAGAAGGCAGAUACCUAACUGGACCUAAUGAUAAAAUUUAGACUCCGGGCAGAAAUCAGCAAAUGCCUGCCCUCCCAAGCCAAAUCCAGCUCACUGCCUGCUUUUAUAAGGGCCACAAGCUAACACAGAUCUUCAAAGGCUAAAAAAAAAUUUUUUAAACAUAAGUAACGACAGACAUGAAAUCAAUUUAAAUUUCAGAGCCCAUAAGGAAGGUUUUAUUGGACAGUUAUUGAUUCAUUUACGAAUCCUCUAUGGCUGCUUCCAUGCAACAGCAGAACUAAGCAGUUGAGAGAUUACACAGCUCUCAAAGCCUGAAGUACUUAUUAUCCAGCCCUUUACAGAAAAAGUUCGCCGACUCCUGCCUUAAGGGAACAGAUGGGUCUCUAAUUUUGCCAUGAACAUUAUUUCUCAAAACUAAGCUUUCUGAAAAUUAACUGAAGAUCACUACUGCAACAAAUAAUUCUUAAAGACCUGCUCUCCCCCAGGCACCGUGCAAGCCUGGGGAAACAGAGCACUAGACAAGGUGCAGCGCCUGCCCUCACGGGGAAGCCCAGGGCCCACGGGUAUAGCCAAGUGCCUAAGUAACAGGAUGAAGAAAAUAUACAGACGAAGGGCAGCACAGCCUGGUGGCUAAGAGCACAUGUCUGACCU
Molecule: non-coding RNA, 1084 nt
Organism: Vicugna pacos (alpaca)
Lineage: Eukaryota; Metazoa; Chordata; Mammalia; Artiodactyla; Camelidae
Source: RefSeq, a predicted model, not a curated record